This 826-nucleotide ribosomal RNA is filed under the name Haptophyta environmental samples. RNAcentral describes it as "eukaryotic LSU rRNA". It matches the Rfam family "Eukaryotic large subunit ribosomal RNA", at positions 133 to 1004 of the family's 3401-position model. Lineage: Eukaryota; Haptophyta. The record is from RNAcentral.
CCGCCCCGAAUUGUAGUCUAGAAAGCCGCCAUCGGCCGCGCCCUCCGCUUAAGUUCCUUGGAAUAGGAGAAACGGAGAGGGUGAGAUUCCCGUACCGUGGAGGAUCGCGGCCGCACGAUGCGGAUUUGCAGAGUCGGGUUGCUUGGGAUUGCAGCUUGAAUUGGGUGGUAAAUUCCAUCUAAAGCUAAAUACUGGCUCAUGACCGAUAGCGAACAAGUACCGUGAGGGAAAGAUGCAAAGAACUUUGAAAAGAGAGUUAAAAAGUGCUUGAAAUUGGCAGGAGGAAACCCGGAUGUGCCUGGCAUUGCCGGCCCACUUCAGCAGCGUGCGUGGUUGAUUCGGACCGCAAGGCCGAUGUCCUGUAGCGCGCUGUGCACUGUGGCCGGUGGUCCAGCCGCGCCGUUGUCCGCGGCACAUGGCGUUGGGUGGGGCUUCGGUGAGCCCUUCGCAGCGCCGCGGACGGCGUCUCGGCUGGGGGAAUGGGCACCUCCGACCCGUCUAGAAACACGGACCAAGGAGUCUGACACGUGUGCGAGUACCCGGGUGGCAAGCCCGCGUGCGCAAUGAAAGUGAAGGGCGUGCCCCGCCAACCGACCUUGAUCUUCUGUGAAGGGUUUGAGUGGAGCACAUCUGUCGGGACCCGAAAGAUGGUGAACUAUGCCUGAGGAGGGUGAAGCCAGAGGAAACUCUGGUGGAGGCUCGUAGCGAUACUGACGUGCAAAUCGUUCGUCGAACUUGGGUAUAGGGGCGAAAGACUAAUCGAACCAUCUAGUAGCUGGUUCCCUCCGAAGUUUCCCUCAGGAUAGCUUGAACGCCACGGUUUUGU